UGGGGAAUUUUGGACAAUGGGCGAAAGCCUGAUCCAGCAAUGCCGCGUGUGUGAAGAAGGCCUUCGGGUUGUAAAGCACUUUUGUCCGGAAAGAAAUCCUUGGCUCUAAUACAGUCGGGGGAUGACGGUACCGGAAGAAUAAGCACCGGCUAACUACGUGCCAGCAGCCGCGGUAAUACGUAGGGUGCAAGCGUUAAUCGGAAUUACUGGGCGUAAAGCGUGCGCAGGCGGUUUGCUAAGACCGAUGUGAAAUCCCCGGGCUCAACCUGGGAACUGCAUUGGUGACUGGCAGGCUAGAGUAUGGCAGAGGGGGGUAGAAUUCCACGUGUAGCAGUGAAAUGCGUAGAGAUGUGGAGGAAUACCGAUGGCGAAGGCAGCCCCCUGGGCCAAUACUGACGCUCAUGCACGAAAGCGUGGGGAGCAAACAGGAUUAGAUACCCUGGUAGUCCACGCCCUAAACGAUGUCAACUAGUUGUUGGGGAUUCAUUUCCUUAGUAACGUAGCUAACGCGUGAAGUUGACCGCCUGGGGAGUACGGCCG
RNAcentral lists this ribosomal RNA (540 nucleotides) under uncultured bacterium. RNAcentral describes it as "partial 16S ribosomal RNA". It matches the Rfam family "Bacterial small subunit ribosomal RNA", at positions 355 to 888 of the family's 1533-position model. The record is from RNAcentral.